This 71-nucleotide transfer RNA is filed under the name Poecilopsetta natalensis (African righteye flounder). RNAcentral describes it as "tRNA-Gln". It matches the Rfam family "tRNA". From Rfam's summary of the family: Transfer RNA (tRNA) molecules are approximately 80 nucleotides in length. Their secondary structure includes four short double-helical elements and three loops (D, anti-codon, and T loops). Further hydrogen bonds mediate the characteristic L-shaped molecular structure. tRNAs have two regions of fundamental functional importance: the anti-codon, which is responsible for specific mRNA codon recognition, and the 3' end, to which the tRNAs corresponding amino acid is attached (by aminoacyl-tRNA synthetases). tRNAs cope with the degeneracy of the genetic code in two manners: having more than one tRNA (with a specific anti-codon) for a particular amino acid; and 'wobble' base-pairing, i.e. permitting non-standard base-pairing at the 3rd anti-codon position. Lineage: Eukaryota; Metazoa; Chordata; Actinopteri; Pleuronectiformes; Poecilopsettidae. The record is from RNAcentral.
UAGGAAGUGGUGUAAAGGAAGCACUAAGAGUUUUGUCCUCUUCAGGAUGGGUUCGAAUCCCUUCUUUCUAA